UCUCUCCAGCUCCAGCGCUUCUGCUGUUUCUUCUUAAGACGAAACCUGAGCAUGAAUGGGAAGAGUUCAUUCGUAAUGCGGCCAGCCCCUGUGGUGUCGAGCUGAGAAAGUCUGUGGUUGUUACUUCCUCCUGCGGGGUGUUUGUGGAUGACCAUCGCUCUCCCGAGAGCACCAGCCUGCGCAGCAGACAGCAUGGUGUGUCCGAGCAGAUGGUGGGCAGUGUCUGGGCAAACGUCGUGGUGUGCCCUGCUCAUGGCCAUGCCCAGCUUUGCCUAUUCGAUGUGCCGUCCCUACGUGCACGUUCCCUGAAUGGCCCUUUACCCCUGGAGCUGCAGAAGGCCAUGGAGCGAGCUGUGAUGCUAGGGUCACCCUCUGCACCCUGACCACCAGUGGGUGCAGAAGCAGAUGCUGGAGGGGCGAAGCAGUGCCAGCAACCACUCUCUUCCUGGAGGAGCAGAGAGGUGGUCCCGACCCGCACCCAGUGCUGCUGUGAGCGCACCCUGAGGGGAGCUGUGUGGCCGGGAUGGUGGACAAGGCUGGGUGCUGGGUGCUGAGGCGGCCCCGUGCUUGCCUCCAGCUCCUUGGUGGCACAGCCCAGCCUUUGAAGCAGCUGAAGCUGGUCCCACCCAGGGGAAUGGCUGAGGAUGGGAUUUGUUCUUUUUCAAAGGCUUUGAUCCCUUGACAGCUGAGCUCGAGUCCAACCUGACUGUCCGCUGAAUCCAGCCCUUUCAUUUUCCCCUCUUUAAGUUUCGAGCUUGCACUUCACAUGCAGUGAGGGCAGGCUUAAGCUUGACUGUCAGAAUAAAAGCCUUUUCUUUCUGUAUCGCUUCCCCUCUGCAGCUCAAACCAGCUCCAACCCCGGCAAUGUCAACUUCAAAGGCUUCCCCAAGCUGCAGCCACACUUGCCUGCAGAGACAAUUUCAGAAUCUCCUGAAGGCAUGAGGAUGUUGGGACGCUGCACGGCCUUUGGCAGCUCCAAGGGGAGAGAGCAGGGCUGCAGGCACUGCUGUGCUGGCAGCCAGAGGGGUGCAGAGCUUGCCCUUGUGCACAGAAACCCUCCGGAGCUCCCCCGGCUGACAUUGGAUCAGAGACAAACAUAAACAAGCGCAGCCCUCCCAAGGCCGAAGGAAAGCCCCAGCUCCCCGGGGAGGCAGAGUUAAUUCCAGGAUGCUGCUGGACAAACUCUAGUGAGGGCUUGGCUGUGGCACAGCUCUCGCUUCCCGUCUUCGUUCUGGGCAACCUUUCUGGUAGGGGAAGUUGUCUAAGAUGCCGAUAAAGAUAAUAAUGUAUGAAGUGA
Oxyura jamaicensis (ruddy duck) is the source of this 1297-nucleotide long non-coding RNA. RefSeq lists it as uncharacterized. NCBI's taxonomy places the organism in Eukaryota, Metazoa, Chordata, Aves, Anseriformes, Anatidae. The record is from RefSeq and is a predicted model, not a curated record. The transcript is spliced from 2 exons.